CCUACGGGUGGCAGCAGUGGGGAAUCUUCCGCAAUGGACGAAAGUCUGACGGAGCAACGCCGCGUGAGUGAUGACGGCCUUCGGGUUGUAAAGCUCUGUUAAUCGGGACGAAAGGCCUUCUUGCGAAUAGUUAGAAGGAUUGACGGUACCGGAAUAGAAAGCCACGGCUAACUACGUGCCAGCAGCCGCGGUAAUACGUAGGUGGCAAGCGUUGUCCGGAAUUAUUGGGCGUAAAGCGCGCGCAGGCGGAUCAGUCAGUCUGUCUUAAAAGUUCGGGGCUUAACCCCGUGAUGGGAUGGAAACUGCUGAUCUAGAGUAGCGGAGAGGAAAGUGGAAUUCCUAGUGUAGCGGUGAAAUGCGUAGAUAUUAGGAAGAACACCAGUGGCGAAGGCGACUUUCUGGACGAAAACUGACGCUGAGGCGCGAAAGCCAGGGGAGCGAACGGGAUUAGAUACCCGGGUAGUC
Molecule: ribosomal RNA, 465 nt
Filed under: uncultured Veillonella sp.
Lineage: Bacteria; Bacillati; Bacillota; Negativicutes; Veillonellales; Veillonellaceae
Description: bacterial SSU rRNA
Rfam family: Bacterial small subunit ribosomal RNA
Source: RNAcentral